This 209-nucleotide unclassified non-coding RNA is filed under the name Hevea brasiliensis (rubber tree). Lineage: Eukaryota; Viridiplantae; Streptophyta; Magnoliopsida; Malpighiales; Euphorbiaceae. The record is from RNAcentral.
GUUUAUGAGCUGAUGGACACUGAUCUUCAUCAGAUAGUUCGUUCCAACCAACAGUUGACUGAUGAUCACUGUCGGUAUUUCCUAUACCAAAUAUUACGAGGACUCAAGUACAUUCACUCUGCCAAUGUCCUGCAUCGUGAUAUAAAACCCAGCAAUUUAUUUCUCAAUGCAAACUGUGACCUAAAAGUUGGAGAUUUUGGGCUUGCAAG